CUUGUCACAGUCUAGGAAUAUGGUUCAGUACGACUUGUCACAGUCUAGGAAUAUGGUUCAGUACGACUUGUCACAGUCUAGGAAUAUGGUUCAGUACGACUUGUCACAGUCUAGGAAUAUGGUUCAGUACGACUUGUCACAGUAAACUGCCAAUAGUUAUCUGUGUAAAAUGUGCCAUAAUCCCGACCGUUGUGUUAUUACCAAACUCCCCAAUAAGACCCAAACCAGCAGUCAUUUACCCCGUAGUGUUACAUCCCAAACCAGCAGUCAUUACCCCCGUAGUGUUACAUCCCAAACCAGCAGUCAUUACCCCCGUAGUGUUACAUCCCAAACCAGCAGUCAUUUACCCCGUAGUGUUACAUCCCAAACCAGCAGUCAUUACCCCCGUAGUGUUACAUCCCAAACCAGCAGUCAUUUCCCCCGUAGUGUUACAUCCCAAACCAGCAGUCAUUACCCCCGUAGUGUUACAUCCCAAACCAGCAGUCAUUUACCCCGUAGUGUUACAUCCCAAACCAGCAGUCAUUUCCCCCGUAGUGUUACAUCCCAAACCAGCAGUCAUUACCCCCGUAGUGUUACAUCCCAAACCAGCAGUCAUUACCCCCGUAGUGUUACAUCCCAAACCAGCAGUCAUUACCCCCGUAGUGUUACAUCCCAAACCAGCAGUCAUUUCCCCCGUAGUGUUACAUCCCAAACCAGCAGUCAUUUCCCCCCUAGUGUUACAUCCCAAACCAGCAGUCAUUUCCCCCGUAGUGUUACAUCCCAAACCAGCAGUCAUUUCCCCCCGUAGUGUUACAUCAUUUCUACAGCUGGUGACGUAGGAUAUAAUUUACAAACCCAUCCAUUUCUAUAGCUGGUGACGUAGGAUAUCAUUUACAAACCCAUCCAUUUCUAUAGCUGGUGACGUAGGAUAUAAUUUACAAACCCAUCCAUUUCUAUAGCUGGUGACGUAGGAUAUCAUUUACAAACCCAUCCAUUUCUAUAGCUGGUGACGUAGGAUAUAAUUUACAAACCCAUCCAUUUCUAUAGCUGGUGAUGUAGGAUAUAAUUUACAAACCCAUCCAUUUCUACAGCUGGUGACGUAGGAUAUCAUUUACAAACCCAUCCAUUUCUAUAGCUGGUGAUGUAGGAUAUCAUUUACAAACCCAUCCAUUUCUAUAGCUGGUGAUGUAGGAUAUCAUUUACAAACCCAUCCAUUUCUAUAGCUGGUGAUGUAGGAUAUCAUUUACAAACCCAUCCAUUUCUAUAGCUGGUGAUGUAGGAUAUCAUUUACAAACCCAUCCAUUUCUAUAGCUGGUGAUGUAGGAUAUCAUUUACAAACCCAUCCAUUUCUAUAGCUGGUGAUGUAGGAUAUCAUUUACAAACCCAUCCAUUUCUAUAGCUGGUGAUGUAGGAUAUCAUUUACAAACCCAUCCAUUUCUACAGCUGGUGACGUAGGAUAUCAUUUACAAACCCAUCCAUUUCUAUAGCUGGUGAUGUAGGAUAUCAUUUACAAACCCAUCCAUUUCUAUAGCUGGUGAUGUAGGAUAUCAUUUACAAACCCAUCCAUUUCUAUAGCUAGUGCUUGUACCCUACAGACUAGUCCUUAGUUCACACACUUGGUCCAUUCAUAGUGCACUUGGUCCCUUCAUAGCGCACUUGGUCCCUUCAUAGCGUACUUUGUCCCUUCAUAGUGCACUUGGUCCCUUCAUAGCCCACUUGGUCCUUUCAUAGUGCACUUUGUCCCUUCAUAGUGCACUUGGUAGUUCACGUCAUAGUGUUUUCCCAGCAGCCCUGCCUUGUUGACUAGUAUGGGUCCAUUCCCACUGGGCACAGACGUCAAUUCAACGUCUAUUCCACGUUGGUUCAAUGUAAUUUCAUUGAAACGACGUGGAAACAAAGUUAAUUCAACCAUUGUGGGUUCUUUAGGAGCAAACUCUUCCUAUACAUUACAGUAAACACGAUCUCAGGAGGGAACCUCUGCUUUGUCUACCAGAGAAUAAUACCAUUCAUAAUAAUACUGAUUAACUGGCGUACAAAACCACGUUGUUUUGUUCUUGUGUUGUUGGUGUUUCCAGGUCUGAAGAGAACCUAUGUACUGCCUUUCUGUCCUUCUGUGGGAAAACUGGAAAUCGCUGGAGAUUUCUUUCUGUAUAAAAAGAGUGUAUUAUUGUAUUGGACUUUUACCUUUGUAUGUAUAAACACUACAUUAUCAGCCUCUUGGAUUCACUGGCUUUACUUUCAUAUCCCCUGGUUAAUGUCUCUGUAUGUAGUGUUGUCUUACACACACACACACACACACACACACACACACACACACACACACACACACACACACACACACACACACACACACACACACACACACACACACACAAAUAUACACACACACACACAAAUAUACACACACUCCUCUAGGAGUCAGACCCUCUCCAGAUCUCUCCCAUACAGGACUCCUCUAGGAGUCAGACCCUCUCCAGAUCUCUCCCAUACAGGACUCCUCUAGGAGUCAGACCCUCUCCAGAUCUCUCCCAUACAGGACUCCUCUAGG
This 2527-nucleotide long non-coding RNA is filed under the name Salmo salar (Atlantic salmon). RNAcentral's name for it is "lncRNA (ENSSSAG00000115219.1)". The record is from RNAcentral. Lineage: Eukaryota; Metazoa; Chordata; Actinopteri; Salmoniformes; Salmonidae.